Molecule: long non-coding RNA, 3567 nt
Organism: Lycium ferocissimum
Lineage: Eukaryota; Viridiplantae; Streptophyta; Magnoliopsida; Solanales; Solanaceae
Exons: 8
Source: RefSeq, a predicted model, not a curated record
GUGAAGCUUUGGUGAACGACGAAUGGCACUUUAGUAAUUAAUAUGUUUUUCAUGGGCAUUAUGUUAACUGAUCCAACUCACUUUAGGUUCCCAAUUGUAUGCAAACCCAUGUGAUGCUCUGGCCAACUCUCUCUUUCACCUUUUGCAUGUAUCCAUUCUAGAAAGACAGAAGGUGAUAUUUGGCUUCACUCUUGUAAUUCUGUAAAUUUUGUAAUGCUGCAGCUCUUGGUGGUCCCAGUGGAUAGCUUCUUGAGCAAUAUGCUCAGGCCUUCCCACUGAAUGGAACUAAAUUGGCUUACAUUGAACUAGCCGGCAAGCAAUUCACUGUUUCUGGAAGUUUGGAAAGCAGAAAUACUGCACUCGAAUAAUACAAAGUUAGAUAAAAAUAUCAACCAUGUUCAAAAGUCUAUGGAUAGCUCUGUAGAGCUUAGCUUUCAAAAGGUUACCACAUAAAUUUACACCUUUUACUUACCCACUUGAUACAGCAUCAUGCUUUUGUUCCUCUGCCGUCGUUGCUGACUUGCUAUGGGUUUCCUCAUCGUUGCAUGUAGGAACGAACAAUAGUAAUUUUGAGGCUGACAUGCAUAGGCAAAGGUGAAACAAUUUCAUCGUCUGCUAGGAAACCUUGAGUUCUCUUGGUAGUGGAAUUUCGGCUAACCAAUAUAACUCAGAGACCUAAAAGUUGGAAGGAAGAGACUGAAGCUGAUGCAAGUCAAGAGAUAUUUGGAAGCUCUAGCUUCAGUCGUGCAAUACCUAUCAGAUGAUGUGCUUUUAGUUUCUGGUGAGUGCUCUCUCUAACAAAAUGAUUGGUAAACUGAAACUGUAGAUUGGAUCCAUGCUACUUUAUGUGCUCACAAGUUUGUGCUUCUCUCUUUCUUAUCUUGCAGUUCACAUCUAAAAGCAUGAUAUGAUCUUAGAGUUAUCAAAAUAGCCUUCGCAUUCUACAUUACAAAGAGUAGUUUAUCAAUGGCUUUGGCUCAAGAUCAUGACAACUUACGAGUUGCAUUUGGGGUAACUGUUGUCCUAAAUUAUUAGCUUUAGAAACGUUUGUUGGAUCUGUUACAUUAUAACAUUCUUUUGGUUUUAGAAUCUCUUAGAGGAAGCUAGGUAAACUUUGAGCAUUGUCUUCUGUUAAUAGUUUCUAUUAGUUGUUGAAGCAUUUUACCUGGUACAAAUUUAAGAUUUUACACCAUUAAAACAACACUCAUCAAUGAUGUUGUACAAUUUUUUGUUCAUUUAUACAAGAAGAAUGUUCACUUGUUUUGGAAGUGCAUCUACAGUUCAAAUGACACUUGAAGGUUCAAAUAUUACCUGUUGUGUCUUAGCACUGCACUCAACGCAUUCCACUACACCUGUUUGCCUUUUAAGUUCAUGUUGCAUUUUCAAAGAAGUGUAAGUAAAAACUAUUUAAAAAAAAAAAAAUCUGCAAUGUAUGAGGUCUUGAGACAAAAACUUGAUUGAAUUUUUCUUUUACAUCAUCUGGUAAUCUAGGCCUUAAAUUAUCAUGUUAAUUUCAAACUUGACAUGGUCUCACUAACAUCUAAGCCCCUGCCCUUGUAAUCCCACUUUCUUCAUUGCUCGACCAAAAAACAUGGGAUUUGGUUCCUUUUACAGGUCAUAUUUGAGCUGGCCAUUGUGAUAUAACUUUCAACAGAUAAUAGUCUAAAGAGCUUUUUAAGUGUGUUAUUAGGAAAAAUUAAUACAAUUAAUAAACUCCCUUCAUGUUUUCAUUUUUCUUUUUGUGGAGAUAAGUCUUACUUUAUGUUCUCCUUUUGCCUUCUUUAUAAGAAGGUGAAACAAGCACUCAAUAUUUUUUGUUAAACUUUUGAUAGAUUCAAUAUAUAUAUAUAUAUACGUGUUUUGUUGAAAUUGUACCUGCAUCAGGAUUGUCCCUUCUAAAGUCCUUGUCUUCUCUUAAAUCUGUCACAUUUGAACUCUGUUUAUGUAGAAAAUUAGAAAUAUAGGGUGAUAGAUAAAGCAAAUUAGAAAUAUAGGGUGAUAGAUAAAGCUCAAUGUCAUUCUCUGCAUCAACUAGCUCAUCGGCCCUAAAUGAUUAGACAGUAAGAUGUUUAAUUUAUGGUUAUUAGGCUUAAUUUUUAGAUGUAAUUGCUAAAGUUAUGAAGAAGAAACUUAAAAUCUUCCAAAAUAUGUCAAUUUGCCGCAAGUAAUUAAAAUUUAGUGAAGUAGGAUUACUCAGUAUAGUAGCUCUUUUUAGAGUUCAAUCGUUUCGUUAUGUUUGUUCAGCUUAAUAUUGUGUUGCUACUUCAUUGAAUCAGUAGAGAAGAAACUCUAUUCUUUUUGGAGUUGAGUCAUGGUAUUAGUGCCAUGAAAAAUUACUCAACGUUGAUAAAUUGCAAAGAUUAUUUUCUACUGCAGUUUACUUUACUUCUGUUGGAUCUGAUUGUGGAAAUACUCCUUUGUCUUGCCCACAUAGGUGAUAGUACCACUAUGCCAAUAAGACAAAAGGAAUGCUAAAGCCUAAGUGCAGUUCUAAUGAUUCUAUGUGAAGCUUAUAAGAAAUGUCUCUUCUAUUUAAUAUUUGUCACUGAAGUUUAGCCCUAAUGAUUUUAUUUUUCAUUUUCCCCAGAAUUUCUUAUUUGUAGUAUGAUGAAGAAAUUGUUUGAUGUGAAAAUAUUUAUGUCUCUUAUUGUGGUUUUUACUUUAUACAUAUAAUACAUGUAGACAUUGUAUGGAAAAGUUCGUUACAUGUAAUGCAAUUUGGCAUCUCAAUAUGCUUUUUGUGAACAUCAAAUGCCAUUUGACAUCUUAAUAUGAUUAUUUGUGAAGUAAAUACAAAUGUCCCACUUAUGAGUUAUAUUGCUCAAAGCAUUUGAACCUUGUACAUGUAUAAAUUCGUUUUUGUGGAUAUCAUGGGAAUCUUAACGUAAGAUGCCUACCGGAUUUGUGCUCCCUUUAUUAGCCUAAUAGAUAUCUACGCAAUUAUACUGUACAAUUGCUAUUCUUAGGUUCCUUAAAUUUUUACUUUAAUGUUUAUAUUCAGUGGACAUGGUUGAUGACAAGAUCUUAAAUUGUGUGAUUAUUUCUCCGAAUAUGUGAUCCUUUGCCUAUCCCUGUUACCAAGAGAAGUCUUCGUAUUUUUUUUUAAAUCUAUAUUUUUUAGUAUUCAACUAUUUUUUGACAGGCUCAUCAGUGAAAGGCAUUUUCAUGAUCCAAAAUUAUUAGAUGCGUCUACAAUUUGAUAGUGCAUCCAAUGUUGCUAUACUUUAUAUGCAUCAUGAACUUAAAGCUUAAUGCAACGGGUACUACUUGUUUGUUGAAACUUUUUCAUUAAUAAGAGUAACUGGAAGUCCCAUUUUGUGCAACAUCAUUCCGGUCUAACAUUUGUUGUUGGAGAUGAGAUAUUGAUGAACCAACAUGUAUUGAUUGGAAACAAAUGAAGAAUCACAGGUAUACAAUGUUUUCAUAUGUACAUUGUUGCAACUAUCAAUAUGUUGUUGAUAGUAUACUCUUACUUUCUGCCAUUGACUUCUCACUAAUUGGGGCUUCCGACAGUAGAAAUAAUUAGUGUCAAUACUCUUAAUACAUUUUAGAGCAAAUAUAAAGCAC